This 6474-nucleotide long non-coding RNA is filed under the name Malus domestica (apple). RNAcentral's name for it is "long non-coding RNA (MDOM_LNC012597)". Lineage: Eukaryota; Viridiplantae; Streptophyta; Magnoliopsida; Rosales; Rosaceae. The record is from RNAcentral.
GAGCAGUCCUUGUCCUUGUCAGUCAAUGAGCCCAAACGGCUCUUUUCUGUGUACCGAAGCUAGAGCCAAACGGCACUGUAUUUUCUCAGUUCAAAAUAACCCUCUCGGACAGAGACACAGGGCCACAUGAUGAAAACACGUGUCAUACAUCCGUGUAAUAAACUCCUUAGGAUUCCAAUAGAGACGCUGAAAUGUGUUACAGUCACCCAUUGUUAUGUCAGAUGGCAUUUAGAACCCCUAGACCGCAUUAUUUCUCGCAAGCUGCACCUCUAUAAUAGAUUUCUCUCUCUUAUCUCUCAGAAGUUCAGAACCCAUUUCUCUCCAAAAUGAAAAGAAAAAUUUCCGUCUCUCUCUAGAAAAUCCGAAGAGACUCACGUAGCUCUUGCCAUGUUCAAAACUCGUAACCCAACCAGUAAGUCAAACCUCCAUGUCACAGCAGCUCCUGCAUCCUCUCAAAGAGGUGUCUCCGUAGCCUUCCAAAACCGUAACAAACAAACCUCUGUGAGUCCCGAGCCGUGGUAGAGUGAGCUGAAAAGUGAUGAUGCUGAAGGUAAAAAUCCUUCUCAAUUUGUGUUACUUCCGUGUCAGCUUGAUGUAUUUGGGUGAAAGGAAACAAGAUCUAACACAUGCAUGUGUGUUUAUCCGUAGGAAGUCCUCCAAACUUGCAGAUCUGAGCCGAUGUACACCACACACUCGGAUUGUCAGCAAAAUCCGAAACCAGUUAGUGUCUGCCAUAGAAAUGAUGCACAGUGCAGCUCCAAUCAUCCCACAGAGGUACACAUCUUCACACCAACUAUCGUAGUGUGAUGAUUUCCAUGUCGCCUAUCUCCACCAUGCAAAUGUAUAAGCUAUGUGUCUUGUUGGUGUGCAAAGGUGCUUGAGCUGGAUGCUGGACAGCAGUAAGGACACGACAACAGAGGCGACAUUGCGGACCGGAGGCAUGCAGAGGUAAAAAUUUUGUUCUCCACCAAUGAUGACCCCCAAAUUGAUACACCUGUUUCCAAUGGAACUCAUCCACUUUGAUUGUUCUGUUGCAGGGAAAAUGCCCCAGAUCGGCAAAGGAAACGUGAUGACAAAACCAUUAGCUUACACUGAAGAAUGGCCGCUUAGCAAAAGAGAGAGGUACUGGAUGCAUGAUUCCGUCUAAAAUGAUCUCUUUGUGCAUUAAGUUUUGUUUGUCUUGUUUGCUGGCUGCAUAAAAAUCAGGUGUUGAAAUCAGAGAUAAAAAUGUAGAAGAUACUAUCGGUAAAAUAAAAUAAGUAAAAGCAAAGAAUGUUUUGUUUGUUUUUUUUUUUUAAUUUUUAAAUUUUUUUUUAUUUUAAUUUUUAAUUUUUAAUUUAUUUUUUAAUGAACAGGAAAUGCAGCCUAGGAAUUUAAAUGCAGCUAGAAAUUGAAAGUAAUGAAAGAAAAACGAAACAAAGUAAAGAAAAAGUUAGAAAGUUGGGUUGCCUCCCAAUAAGCGCUUUAUUUAAGGUCUGUAGCUAGACGUUGCAGAAAUCUGGUGGCUAAGUCACUGGAUCCCUCAGAGUUAAUGACUUGCGUGCUGUGUCAUAGGGUGAUUCCAAGUAUGGUUUGAGCCUGUGACCAUUGACCUUGAAUUCAUGACCUGUGACCUCAUUUUUUAUCUCCAAAGCCCCAUGCGAAUAAACCUUAGUGACCACAUAGGGCCCUGUCCAAUGUGACUUAAGUUUGCCUGGAAACAACUUUAAUCUGGAAUUGAAAAACAACACCUUUUGCCCUGUGUAGAAUUCCCUGUGAAGGAUUUUACUGUCAUGAAAUGCCUUAGUCUUGUCUUUGUAGAUUUUUGAACUUUCAUAUGCAUCAUUACGAAUCUCAUAGAGCUCAUUGAGCUCCAACUUACGCUCUCCCCAGCUGAAUCAUAUGCAAAAUUUAGCUCCUUAAUAGCCCAAAACGCCUUGUGCUCUAGUUCCAUAGGUAAAUGACAUGCUUUCCCAUACACAAGUCUAAAUGGCGAUAUCCCAAUUGGGGUUUUAAAAGCUAUCAUGUAAGCCCACAGCGCACCAUUUAAUUUUAAACUCCAAUCCUUACGUGUAGAGCCAACUAUUUUCUCCAAAAUCCGCUUUAAUUCUCUGUUUGAAACUUCCACUUGACUAGAUGUCUGUGGAUGAUAGGGUGUAGCCACGCGAUGAGUAAUCCCAUACUUUGCUAAUAAAGCAUCAAACUGUUUAUUAAUAAAAUGCUUCUCCCAUCACUAAGAAUCACACGUGGAAUUCCAAAACGUGGAAAUAUAACCCCCUGGAGGAAUUUCAGUACCACUGAUCCUUGAUUAGUUGGUGUUGCAAUGGCCUCGACCCAUUUAGAAACAUAUUCCACAGCAACUAAAAUGUACUGAUUCCCGUGAGAUGAUAUGAAUGGUCCUAUGAAAUCAAUACCCCAAACAUCAAAUAACUCAACAAUUAGAAUAAUUUGCUGGGGCAUCUCAUUCCUCUUGGAUUGGUUGCAGACUCUUUGACACCUGUCACAAGCUCUGCACCAAUUAUUUGCAUCUUUAAAUAAUGUAGGCCAAAACAACCCACUUUGCAGAAUUUUCUCUGCUGUAAUUUUCUGUCCAAAAUGUCCCCUACAUGCAUACUGAUGAGAAAAACGCAAAACACUGUCUUGUUCAACCUCAGGAAUGCAUCUGCGAAUAAUCUGGUCGGGACAAUACUUAUAUAAGUAUGGUUCAUCCCAGAAGUAAUGCUUGACAUCAGACAAAAACUUCUUUUUCUGCUGAAAUGAAAAAUCGGGAUGCACAACACCCGUAGCCAAAUAAUUAACAAGAUCAGCAAACCAGGGUGUAUUAAUUUGGGCAGCAAAGAGCUGCUCAUCUGGAAAACUCUCACUCAAUGGUAGAGAAUCUGCCUCCUUAGUUGCUGGAAUAAUUAAUCUGGAUAAAUGGUCAGCCACCACAUUUUCACUGCCCUUCUUGUCUUUAAUCUUGAGGUCAAAUUAUUGAAGUAAAAGAACCCAACGAAUCAACCUAGGCUUUGCAUCCUUCUUAGACAACAAGUAUUUUAAUGCAACAUGAUCCGUAUAAACAAUUAUCUUAGCCCCAACCAAAUAAGACCGAAACUUCUUUAAUGCAAACACAACUGCCAACAAUUCUUUCUCUGUGGUAGCAUAGUUGAGCUGUGCAUCAUUGAGUGUACGACUUGCAUAAUAAAUGACAUGGGGAAGCUUGUCUUUCCGCUGUCCUAAAACUGCCCCAACAGCAUAAUCUGAAGCAUCACACAUUAAUUCAAAUGGUAAACCCCAAUCUGGUGCAGCAAUGAUGGGUGCCGAAGUUAGGAGUGAUUUCAACUUGUUGAACGCUUCUAAGCAAGCCUCAUCGAAGUUAAAUGGUGCAUCUUUAGCCAAUAAAUUGCACAAAGGUCGGCUGAUCUUGGAGAAAUCCUUGAUGAACUGACGAUAAAAUCCUGCAUGUCCCAAAAACGAUCUAACACCUUUUACUGAUGUAGGGGGUGGCAACUUUGCAAUCACAUCAAUUUUAGCUUUGUCAACUUCAAUGCCUUUGCUAGAAAUUGAAUGACCCAAAACAAUGCCCUGUUUCACCAUAAAAUGACACUUUUCCCAAUUUAGCACUAAAUUUGUUUCUUAACAUCUCUCAAGAACUAAUGACAAAUUAUGUAGGCACUGAUCAAAUGAAUCUCCAAACACAGAAAAAUCAUCCAUAAAAACUUCCACAAUUCUUUCAACCAAGCCAUAAAAGAUACUCAUCAUACAACGCUGAAAAGUGGCGGGUGCAUUGCAUAAUCCAAAUGGCAUCCUCCGAUAGGCAAAUGUCCCAAAUGAGCAUGUAAAUGUUGUCUUCUCUUGAUCCUCUGGUGCAAUUGGAAUCUGAUUGUACCCAGAAUAGCCAUCCAAGAAACAAUAAAUAGCCCUGCCAGCCAAUCUUUCUAACAUUUGGUCAGUAAACGGUAGAGGAAAAUGGUCUUUUCGUGUACUUGCAUUUGGCUUCCUAUAAUCCACACACAUACGCCAGCCUGUAGUUAAGCGCGUAGGAAUAAGCUCAUUGUUGUCAUUUUGAACUACUGUCAUGCCAGUACGUUUAGGAACAACCUGCGUAGGACUCACCCAUUUACUGUCUGAAAUAGGAUAAAUCAUACAUGCAUCAAGUAAUUUCAUAACCUCUGUUCUGACCACCUCUUUCACAAUUGGGUUAAGGCGGCGUUGAGCAUCAAUUGUUGGCUUCACGUCGUCUUCCAUUAAAAUUCUGUGCAUACAGAUUGCUGGGCUAAUACCCUUGAUGUCAGCAGUUGUCCAUCCUAGUGCGUCUUGAUAUUUCCUCAAAACACGAAGCAAUUUAUCUUCCUCUGUGGGAGUUAAAUCAGCUGCAACUAUAACUGGCAGCGUUUCUGCAGCCCCUAAAUGUGCAUAUUUUAAAUGUUCUGGUAAGGGUUUCAGCUCUAAUUUUGGUGGCUGCUAUCUGGACGGCUUAAGGGGCUGUUUUGGCUCCCCUAAGCUCUCGUAAACAUUUCUAAACCUUGGCAACUAUGUGGGCAGACUAUCUAAUGCGUGAAUGUAGUCAAGAACACCUUCAUCUGCAGAAUCUGUCCCAAUUUCCCCUUGUAAAACGUGCAGCAAUUGAUCUGUAUUUGAACGGGCAUAAAAACUAUCUUGAACCAUACUGUCUAACACAUCAAUGCGCAUACAAUCUUGCUAUUCAGCAGGACGUUUUUCUGCCUUAAACAAAUUAAAUACCACAGACUGGUCUUGAACUUGUAAAGUUAGUGUUCCAGCUUCCACAUCAAUUAAAGUCCUAGCUGUUGCCAUAAACGACUUCCCCAAAAUGAUAGGUGUUUGAAGGUCCUCAUCCAUGUCUAAAACCACAAAAUCCGCCAGGAGAUAAAGAUUGUCAACCUUAAUAAUAAGAUCUUCAAUAACACCUCUUGGAUAAGUGAUUGAACGGUCAGCUAGUUGAAGUAUAAUUGAUGUAGGCUUUAAAUCUCCUUGUCCCAAUCGCUGGACAACAGAAAAAGGCAUCAAAUUAAUACUCGCACCCAAAUCAAUUAAAACACUUUUAAAAUCAGAAUUUCCAAUAGUACAAGAAAUAUUAAAACUCCCUGGAUCUUUUUUUUUUAUGUGGUAGUUUGUGUAGCAAAACUGCACUGCACUGUUCUGUCAAUAAAACUUUGUUCAAAUCUGCAAGCUUCUUUUUGCUACUACAAACUUCUUUCAGAAAUUUGGCAUAUGAUGGUAUUUUCUUGAUUGCAUCUAGCAAUGGAAUGUUGAUUUGAACCUUGGAUAAUGUCUGCAUGAAAUCUUUGAGUUGCUGAUCUCGUGCUUUAGGAAUUACACGUUCAAGGUAAGGCAGUGGAGGGUCAUAAACACGCUGAGAAAUCUGUUUUGGGACUGUUUCUGUACUGUGCAGAUUCUGUUUUUCUGCAGAUUUGUCAGGUUCUGCUGCUGGCAUUUCAGAUUCUGCAGUAAUUGGCACUGCAGGCAGAUUCUGUUCAGUACAAUUUGCACGAUUGUCAUAACUUUUUCCACACCGUAAAGUCCGAACAACAUUGCAGUUUUCAUGUCCUCUUGGAUUAGGCACUGUUUGACUAGGAAAUUUGCCUUUUUCUCUGUCUGAAAUCUGUGCAGCUAGUUGCCUAAAUUGUUGCUCCAAACUUUUAAUUGAUGCUUCAACAUUUUGAAUUCUUUGAUUGCUGCCUUCCAUGAAUGUUUGUGUUGUAGCUGCCAGUUUAGAAAGUUGAUCUUCCAAGGAUGGUUUUGAUGGCAUAAAAGGUUUUUGUACAUGCUGGAAUGGUUUUGAAUUAUUCUGAUUAUCACCCCAUUUGAAAUUAGGAUGAUCCCUUCAUCCUGGAUUGUAAUGAGUUGCAUAUGCAUCAUUCCUAGGCCUUUGAUAGCUGUUCAUCAUAUUAACAUGUUGCUCCACAAGCUCUGGGUAAGAUUCUUUAUGUGGACAACCCAAUAUGUUGUGUGUAGCCAUGCUGCAGAUAGUGCAAACUGUUGCUGCAGGUGGCUGCUGCUGUGUAGAAUUUGCUAUAUGUUGUAGAAUAAUGUCAAACUUGGCAUCAAUUUUCUUCUCCAUUUUUUCCAUUUGUGCAGACAUAUUAGGAGAACCUGCUGAUAACUCAAAAAUGCCCCUUUUCUGUGAAUGUUCUGUUGCCCAUUGUUGAGAUUCUGUAGCCAUUGUAUCAAAUAAUUCAAAUGCUUCUCUUGUAGAUUUAUUUGACAAUGAACCCCCAGCUGAUGCAUUAACAUGGCUUUUGGAUGUAGGAUUAAGCUCAUCAAAGAAAAUAUUCAUUUGUGUAUCUGGAUCAAUAUUAACAUGUGGACAUUUUAUAUACAUCUCUGUAUAUCUCUCCAACGCUUCAUGAAAUUCUUCGUUUGGCUUUUGAGUGAAUGUCAUAAUCUCCUGCUUGUAAUUCAAUGUCUUGGAUGCCGGAUAAUAUUUGUUCAGGAAUCUUGUAUGCAAUUGUUGCCAAGUAGUAAUGCUAUUAGCUGGUAGAGUGAAUAACCAAG